RNAcentral lists this ribosomal RNA (119 nucleotides) under Cyprinodon variegatus (sheepshead minnow). The record is from RNAcentral. Lineage: Eukaryota; Metazoa; Chordata; Actinopteri; Cyprinodontiformes; Cyprinodontidae.
GCUUACGUCGCUACACUCCUGAACACGCCCGAUCUUGUCUUAUCUUGGAAGCUAAGCAGGGCUGGGCCUGGUUACUAGUUGAAUGGGAGACCACCUGGGGAUACCAGCGGCUGUAUGUG